RNAcentral lists this long non-coding RNA (326 nucleotides) under Mytilus galloprovincialis (Mediterranean mussel). Lineage: Eukaryota; Metazoa; Mollusca; Bivalvia; Mytilida; Mytilidae. The record is from RNAcentral.
GGUUUAACGCCGUCACAUGGUGACCCCCUAUGGAUCUUAGGGGUUAGUAAAUUUCAUAUGGGUUCAUGACGUCUGUCUAUUUUUAAUGGUGACGUCAUCUAUUGAUGUUGUUGUAUUUCAUUGUUUAUUUUUAUACAAAACGCAGCAGGAAAAGUCCCAUGUGCGAUAAAUUCGUUAUAUCGUAUAUAUGGUUCACUACUUACCCCCUUCGGCCUCAGCCCCUAUGGAUUUUACUAACCCUCUAUGGAUCCGUAGGGGGUCAAUAGCGAACCAUAUAACUUAUAACUGUAAGUUUAUUUUAUUGAAACAGGGAGAUAACACACACA